RNAcentral lists this ribosomal RNA (736 nucleotides) under Najas kingii. RNAcentral's name for it is "eukaryotic LSU rRNA". The stretch from base 317 to 472 matches the Rfam family "5.8S ribosomal RNA". The record is from RNAcentral. Lineage: Eukaryota; Viridiplantae; Streptophyta; Magnoliopsida; Alismatales; Hydrocharitaceae.
UUUCCGUAGGUGAACCUGCGGAAGGAUCAUUGUCGAUGCGUUGGGAGAACGAAGCGAAUCGGUGACAAGAUCGUAGGGUGGCCUAGGGGCGCAGCUGGUUGCCUCUGUCGGGCCCCCUCUCCCUUUGCGCUCGUCUUUCCCGCCUCCCCCUGCCCGCGGGGGGCAAGCCGGGUCCGCACGAGCCUUCAACGAACCCUCGACGCGGGCCGCGUCAAGGACUACCGGAUUGACCAUCACAGGGCGCGACCCUAGCUUGGGCUCGCCUACGUGCGAUACGCAUGCUUUUUUCGCGUCCCUGUCGGAACAAGAUGACGACGACUCUCGGCAACGGAUAUCUAGGCUCUCGCAUCGAUGAAGAACGUAGCGAAAUGCGAUACUUGGUGUGAAUUGCAGAAUCCCGUGAACCAUCGAGUCUUUGAACGCAAGUUGCGCCCGGAGCCGUCAGGCCGAGGGCACGCCUGCCUGGGCGUCGCACGUACAUUCUAUCCUAUGCCCGCACCUUCCCGGAUGCGCGGUUCGUGGAGUUGGAUAUUGGCCAUCCGUGCGGUGGAAUCACGGUUGGCUUGACGUCUGCGUGCACGCGCGUCCGCAUCACGACGGGUGGUGAUCGUUCUUGAGAUGCCCGCGUACGUCGUGAUCGCCGCGUUGCGUUUUCCCAUUGGUCGCCCGGUGGAAUGCCCGUGCCUUCCCCAACCGUACGGACCCCAGGUCAGGCGAGGCCACCCGCUGAGUUUAA